GUAGGCUAUGGGGACAUGAGGCCUGUCACUGUAGGGGGCAAGAUCGUGGGCUCGCUGUGUGCCAUCGCUGGGGUCCUCACCAUCGCCCUGCCUGUGCCGGUCAUUGUCUCCAAC
Regulatory RNA element from Felis catus (domestic cat), 114 nucleotides. It matches the Rfam family "Potassium channel RNA editing signal". Rfam says of the family: This family represents a group of sequences related to the human potassium channel Kv1.1 hairpin element which directs the efficient modification of an adenosine to inosine by an adenosine deaminase acting on RNA (ADAR). The ADAR modification causes an isoleucine/valine recoding event which lies in the ion-conducting pore of the potassium channel. Lineage: Eukaryota; Metazoa; Chordata; Mammalia; Carnivora; Felidae. The record is from Rfam.